AUCCAUAUGUGUCAACAGCAUCCUUAAAUACCAUGUACGAGCACUACAUGCUUACGAAUGCCGCAUGGUAAAAAGAAAAUACAGCUCUACAAGUUUACUCACAAGGAAAUAAGAUGCAGUUGAUUGCAGAUUGGUGUUUUUGAAGUGAAUUACUGACGGACCACAGGGAGGCAGAGUGGAGGCGGUGAGCCCUAACCUUCGUGUGGUUCGAAUGUCACUAAAUGCCCUCCUGACGAUGCCCAAGCCUUCAGCGGACGUAGCCAUGCCCCCCCCAACUGAGGCUAAUGGGCCGCGUCCACCACUGGAGCCCGAAUCUCCUGC
Molecule: long non-coding RNA, 321 nt
Organism: Tachysurus fulvidraco (yellow catfish)
Lineage: Eukaryota; Metazoa; Chordata; Actinopteri; Siluriformes; Bagridae
Exons: 3
Source: RefSeq, a predicted model, not a curated record